GCCGGUCUUUUGCUUCCCCCGCCGCAGCCGCCGCCGCAUUAGCAAAUUAGGGACGACGAUGAUCCGUCGCUUCCUCUACAUGGUCGACAUCUUCGACAAAGCCGGCUACGGCCCUCAACCCUACAGGCUACGCCGCAUCAACCCAUCACAUCUCUUCUUCCCCAAGGAUGCGCUGCCCGUGCCCCAGUCGUCGUCGGCGGCGACGGUGGUGGAGGACCUCCCCCUGCCUCCGACGGAGAUCACCUUCUGCGGGUCGACGGAGUUCAUGCGCAGGAGCGACGACAAGAUCGUCGGCGUCGACCGGACUACUCGCCGCGCCAUCCUCUACGACCCCGCCGAGCACUCCGUCCGCGUCUUGCCGUCCAUGCUAGCGCCCAAAUUCAACACCAAGGCGCUCGCCAUCGGCGACGAUCUCUACCUCAUGGAUAUGACACCUUGGCCUGACAAGGGUGACGACCGUCAGGGUCGACGGUCGGGGCAUUCUUUCGAGGCGCUCAUCCACCGUGACCGACGCCCCCUCAAUGGGGGCAGGCUGGAGGACGAGUGCUACUGGCGGCCCCUGCCGCCGCCUCCGUGCGUGCACGCCGCCGGCUACAGAGGCAGCAGCGGAGAGAUCCGUGGGUACGCGGUGGUCGGCGACGCCCACAUCUUGGUCUCCACCCAGAGCUAUGGCACCUACUCCUUCGCCACGGCCAACACCGCGUGGAGCAAAGCUGGCGACUGGGCGCUGCCCUUCUGCGGCCGCGCCGAGUACGUCCCCGAGCACGGCCUCUGGUUCGGUCUCUCCGCCGCCAACGAUGACGUCUUUGGUGCCUGGGACCUGUCCUCCACCGUCCAGCAGCAGCCAGUGGUGGCGCACCGCGGGUGCAAGGGCUUUGCAGUGCUAGAGACGCCAUACGCCUCAUACGUCGUGCACCUCGGCGACGGCAAAUUGUGCAUCGCUAAGCUGUUCAUGGUCGCGCGCCGCGAGACCUGCAGCGAAUCUUGGUGCGACUUUGACAGGGAUAGAAGGUUUUGCACCAUGCUCACCGGUGUGGAGGUGGUGCGCUGCAACGGCGACAAGCUUCACAUCAUCAAGCACAGGUCGUGCCGUUAUAGCUUUGGUGAACACUACAUCCCCACUUAUGUACUCUAACUAGUAGAGUACUCCUGCUUAUUAGUUACUCCCUCCGUCUAUUAUAUUUUGGGAUGGAGGGAUUAGUCUUUUAAUAAAUCUUAAUUUGGUUAAUCCUGCUGUAUUUUGGGAUGGAGGGAGUAG
This 1258-nucleotide long non-coding RNA is filed under the name Oryza sativa Indica Group (long-grained rice). RNAcentral's name for it is "lncRNA OsKYG_02g0003350". Lineage: Eukaryota; Viridiplantae; Streptophyta; Magnoliopsida; Poales; Poaceae. The record is from RNAcentral.